Molecule: non-coding RNA, 72 nt
Organism: Paenibacillus sp. Soil522
Lineage: Bacteria; Bacillati; Bacillota; Bacilli; Caryophanales; Paenibacillaceae
Source: Rfam
GAAAGCCGUAUGCGGGAAAACUGCACGUACGGUUUGAUGAGGAGGGGCUGGAUCCCCAGCUCUUUACUCUAC